Dermochelys coriacea (leatherback sea turtle) is the source of this 2585-nucleotide long non-coding RNA. RefSeq lists it as uncharacterized. Lineage: Eukaryota; Metazoa; Chordata; Testudines; Dermochelyidae. The record is from RefSeq and is a predicted model, not a curated record. The transcript has 2 exons.
CUAAGAAGUAACUGGGGGAGGAAGCAGCAGAGGAGAGGGAAAACAGUGGCUGAAGCCAGCCUGGGGGCCAGCGAAUCCUCAGGGAUCUGGGCACCAAGGCUCCCCACGCCCCACCUGCAGAAAGCUGAGUUUCGCCAAGGCAAAGAGCAUGCCAGAAGACGAACCCCCGGCUCCACCUCCUCCUCCCUGAGCCUGCAGAGAGGGGUCUGCGCCUCCAUGACUGUACAGCCUGCCUGGAGUUUGUCUCAGCGCUGAUGAGAAGCUGGAGCAGUGGGAAGGGAAGCGAAGUGGCCUGGCCCAGCCCGGGUUUGGUAGGGCAGAGAAAGGUGCCGUGGGAAGAUAAUGGGAGAGAACCACGGCUGGUACUGGCUACCAGGGAAAGGUACGGACUGACUCAGAGCACCGGGUGCUGACUGAGAACUCCUGGGGCUCCAGAUCACAGCAACCCAAGGGACUAGGGAGGGGGCCCCCAGCUGGGCAGAGACAGACACGCAGCCAUGGCUAUAUCAUGAACUGUUACACGUGGGCUUUGGUUGCUUUUAUUAAAAGAAAAGAGGAAUCAUCCUGCCCACUUUGUGGCUGUACCGCUACAGACUGCACCGUGCCAGGAGCCAUCGCACAGAGAGCCUGGGUUCCAGAAUAAGAGACUGGUGUAAGUAACCAAAGUGUGGAAGAUUUUGCACACCGGUUUGGAAUAUGCUUUGUGGGAGUUGUGUGGCCUGGCAAGCAAAGGACCGGGAGCCAGCAAUUUCUAACCUGUAACCUCAGCUGUGUCACCAAAAGCACUCAGAGGCCUUGCAAACUGGCUAAGUAUCCACACGUCACCUCACUGGGGUGUCAUGAGGACUAGCUCACAUUUGUGAAGGGUGCGGAUGAAAAGCACUAAGCAAGCCUGUCAAAGAAUGCAAUUGUAACAGAGGUUAAGAGAAUCCCAUUGGAUGGAUUGCGCAAAUAAAGGGGACAGUAAGUACUGAAAAUAGGAAUUUGUGAAAAGACUCUCCAAACACAUGCAGGUACCAUUCAGAUGUACACGCAAGACUGUUUGGCUAGUCUCAUACAGGGAUUUCAGCUUUGUCUACAUGGGAAAGUUAAAUUCAUUCAGCUAAAUUGAUAUGGCUUCCUUAAACCAAAAUAAGCAUCUUCCCAACAGGGCUGCAGAUUUCACUACACCAGUACAAUUCUCGUGCAGACAAGGCCUUUGGCCCAGGGUAGUCAAUAGGCGGACCGUGGGCCAAAUCCCAUCCACCACAUGCUUUUCAGCGGACUGUGUAGGCUGAACCCCCGGCAGGGUUGGGUGGCCGGCCUGGGCUGCGGGGCACAGUGUUCCCCUGGGUGGUUGCUUGCGCAGCCUCAGCCCCACUGGUAGCAGCGCAGGGAUGGAGCUUGGGGGGGGGGGGGCUGAGUGGCAACAUUUAGGAAGGGAUGUCUGCACCCCCAUGGGCAGCCUAAUGUCUCUCCACUAUGCCUUGCCCCUCCAAUCAGGAAGCAAUGGAGUGUAAUGUGCUCAUUCUGCAGCCCAAACAGAGGGCAGCGCUGUCUGGGCCCUAAUCCAAAUUCUUCUCUGCUCUUCCUGGAGAUGGCGGGGUUGGCUGAGCCAUGGAGCUGCAACUUAUGGGCCUCGGGCCCUGCCUGGCAACCCAGCUGGUAAGUGCCUGAAGGGAUCCUGCAGCAUCCACUUGUGCCGGGGCACCAAGCACAGCGCGCACACACACACACACACACCCACCCACCCCCCGGAGCCCUCCACCCCAGCCUUAUCUCUUCCCCACCCUGUCCUUCAGGGCCAGUCCCCAGAGCCUUCUCCAGUCCCCCUCGCCCCCAACCAGCCUCUUUCCCUUCCCAGUCUGCCUCCAGUCACCAACUACUGCCACUUCCUGGCCUCCCAACCCCUCCCCAGGUCUGCUCUCUGGAGUUUCCUUGGUCCCUCCCACUUCCUGCCCCUCUGUUAUCCCAGCCUCCAAAGGGGCAUUUCACUGCUAGCUGGAUCAUAGUCCAAUAGCUUCACCUCCUGGCUUCAAGCUCAAAAUUCACACCUUGCUUUGCUGCCCAGAUCCCAGCCCAUACCCAUUCCUCUUCCACCUGCCCCCAUCUCUGCCACUUGGCUCAACUGGGGACACAGAGGAACGUUGGAAGGAGCAGGAGGAAGCAGCAAAACCAGGUGGCUCAGGCCAGCCCCAUGUAUCCUGUUUUCAGUUUAGGGAAAUAAAGAUCACUCUGCGCCCCGGGCAAGGAGCUGGUGGCAAUCAGGGGUGAGGGGAGGGGACCUGGGUACGGGUCUGGACCUCGACUAUAUGUUAACCAAGAAAUUUGGACCGUGACAAAAAAUAAUCGAUUACCCUGCCCUAGGUGCUGUCCACAUGGGAACAAAACCACAGCAGCAACACAUCUGAAGCAGAGUCCUGCCAGAACCUUACAUGAUCACACUGUAGCUAGCUACAGCUGGUUUUCAGUACUGUUCUCACCAGCAUGCAGAGGUACUUGCUUUGCUGGGUAUCCUGCUAGCAGACACCCAAGUUGCAGACCGAGUCCCCUAUCAAGUUUCCAUCAUAGUUUAUUCACAUAUAAUUAUACAUUGCAUUGAGUGU